RNAcentral lists this ribosomal RNA (465 nucleotides) under Vreelandella stevensii. RNAcentral's name for it is "partial 16S ribosomal RNA". It matches the Rfam family "Bacterial small subunit ribosomal RNA", at positions 338 to 795 of the family's 1533-position model. The record is from RNAcentral. Lineage: Bacteria; Pseudomonadati; Pseudomonadota; Gammaproteobacteria; Oceanospirillales; Halomonadaceae.
CCUACGGGUGGCAGCAGUGGGGAAUAUUGGACAAUGGGGGCAACCCUGAUCCAGCCAUGCCGCGUGUAUGAAGAAGGCCCUCGGGUUGUAAAGCACUUUCAGUGAGGAAGAACGCCUGGUGGUUAAUACCCAUCAGGAAAGACAUCACUCACAGAAGAAGCACCGGCUAACUCCGUGCCAGCAGCCGCGGUAAUACGGAGGGUGCGAGCGUUAAUCGGAAUUACUGGGCGUAAAGCGCGCGUAGGUGGCUUGAUAAGCCGGUUGUGAAAGCCCCGGGCUCAACCUGGGAACGGCAUCCGGAACUGUCAAGCUAGAGUGCAGGAGAGGAAGGUAGAAUUCCCGGUGUAGCGGUGAAAUGCGUAGAGAUCGGGAGGAAUACCAGUGGCGAAGGCGGCCUUCUGGACUGACACUGACACUGAGGUGCGAAAGCGUGGGUAGCAAACAGGAUUAGAUACCCCAGUAGUC